CAGCCGCCGCGGUAAUACGGAGGAUCCAAGCGUUAUCCGGAAUCAUUGGGUUUAAAGGGUCCGUAGGCGGUCUUGUAAGUCAGUGGUGAAAGCCCAUCGCUCAACGGUGGAACGGCCAUAGAUACUGCAGGACUUGAAUUAUUGGGAAGUAACUAGAAUAUGUAGUGUAGCGGUGAAAUGCUUAGAGAUUACAUGGAAUACCAAUUGCGAAGGCAGGUUACUACCAAUUGAUUGACGCUGAUGGACGAAAGCGUGGGUAGCGAACAGGAUUAGAUACCCCUGUAGUCCCUGUCUCUUAUAA
This 301-nucleotide ribosomal RNA is filed under the name uncultured bacterium. RNAcentral describes it as "partial 16S ribosomal RNA". It matches the Rfam family "Bacterial small subunit ribosomal RNA", at positions 509 to 809 of the family's 1533-position model. The record is from RNAcentral.